This 433-nucleotide ribosomal RNA is filed under the name uncultured bacterium. RNAcentral describes it as "partial 16S ribosomal RNA". It matches the Rfam family "Bacterial small subunit ribosomal RNA", at positions 29 to 507 of the family's 1533-position model. The record is from RNAcentral.
AGCGAACGCUGGCGGCAGGCUUAACACAUGCAAGUCGAGCGGGCCCUUCGGGGUCAGCGGCGCACGGGUGAGUAACGCGUGGGAACGUGCCCUCUGGUUCGGAAUAACUCAGGGAAACGGGUGCUAAUACCGGAUACGCUCUUCGGGGGAAAGAUUUAUUGCCGGAGGAUGGGCCCGCGUCGGAUUAGCUAGUUGGUAGGGUAAAGGCCUACCAAGGCGACGAUCAGUAGCUGGUCUGAGAGGAUGAUCAGCCACACUGGGACUGAGACACGGCCCAGACUCCUACGGGAGGCAGCAGUGGGGAAUAUUGGACAAUGGGCGCAAGCCUGAUCCAGCCAUGCCGCGUGAGUGAUGAAGGCCUUAGGGUUGUAAAGCUCUUUUAUCCGGGACGAUAAUGACGGUACCGGGGGAAUAAGCCCCGGCUAACUUCGUG